RNAcentral lists this ribosomal RNA (492 nucleotides) under uncultured bacterium. RNAcentral's name for it is "partial 16S ribosomal RNA". It matches the Rfam family "Bacterial small subunit ribosomal RNA", at positions 29 to 507 of the family's 1533-position model. The record is from RNAcentral.
AGUGAACGCUGGCGGUAGGCCUAACACAUGCAAGUCGAACGGCAGCACAGUAAGAGCUUGCUCUUACGGGUGGCGAGUGGCGGACGGGUGAGGAAUACAUCGGAAUCUACUUUUUCGUGGGGGAUAACGUAGGGAAACUUACGCUAAUACCGCAUACGACCUACGGGUGAAAGCAGGGGAUCUUCGGACCUUGCGCGAUUGAAUUAGCCGAUGUCGGAUUAGCUAGUUGGCUGGGUAAAGGCCCACCAAGGCGACGAUCCGUAGCUGGUCUGAGAGGAUGAUCAGCCACACUGGAACUGAGACACGGUCCAGACUCCUACGGGAGGCAGCAGUGGGGAAUAUUGGACAAAGGGCGCAAGCCUGAUCCAGCCAUACCGCGUGAGUGAAGAAGGCCUUCGGGUUGUAAAGCCCUUUUGUUGGGAAAGAAAAGCAGCAGGUUAAUACCCCGCUGUUCUGACGGUACCCAAAGAAUAAGCACCGGCUAACUUCGUG